This 497-nucleotide ribosomal RNA is filed under the name uncultured bacterium. RNAcentral's name for it is "partial 16S ribosomal RNA". It matches the Rfam family "Bacterial small subunit ribosomal RNA", at positions 28 to 507 of the family's 1533-position model. The record is from RNAcentral.
GAUGAACGCUGGCGGCGUGCCUAAUACAUGCAAGUCGAGCGAACAGACGAGGCGCUUGCUCCUCUGACGUUAGCGGCGGACGGGUGAGUAACACGUGGCUAACCUACCUAUCAGACUGGGAUAACUUCGGGAAACCGGAGCUCAUACCGGAUAAUAUAUUGAACCGCAUGGUUCAAUAGUGAAAGACGGUUUUGCUGUCACUUAUAGAUGGAUCCGCGCCGCAUUAGCUAGUUGGUAAGGUAACGGCUUACCAAGGCAACGAUGCGUAGCCGACCUGAGAGGGUGAUCGGCCACACUGGAACUGAGACACGGUCCAGACUCCUACGGGAGGCAGCAGUAGGGAAUCUUCCGCAAUGGGCGAAAGCCUGACGGAGCAACGCCGCGUGAGUGAUGAAGGUCUUCGGAUCGUAAAACUCUGUUAUUAGGGAAGAACAAAUGUGUAAGUAACUAUGCACGUCUUGACGGUACCUAAUCAGAAAGCCACGGCUAACUACGUG